AAUGGCUGCAGUAAUUUGACUGUACAAAGGUAGCAUAAUCAUUAGUUUUUUAAUUAAAAGCUUGUAUGAAAGGUUGGACGAAAUAAAAUCUGUCUCUUUUUAAUAAAAUUAGAAUUUAAUUUUUAAGUUAAAAAGCUUAAAUUUUUAUAAAAGACGAGAAGACCCUAUAGAGUUUAAUAAUUUAAAUUUAAUAAUUAAUUUAGAUUUAUUAAUUUUAUUUUAUUUAAAUUAUUUUAUUGGGGUAAUGGAAAGAUUUAAAAAAUUCUUUUUUAAUUAAAUCAUUAAUAUAUGAAAUUUAUGAUCCAAAAAUUUUGAAUAUAAGAUUAAAUUACCUUAGGGAUAACAGCGUAAUUUUUUUUUAGAGUUCUUAUCGAUAAAAAAGUUUGCGACCUCGAUGUUGGAUUAAAGAUUAAUUUAGGUGCAGAAGUUUAAAUAUUUGGUCUGUUCGACCAUUAAAUCUUUACAUGAUCUGAGUUCAAACCGGUGUAAGCCAGGUUGGUUUCUAUCUUUAUAAUAUUUUUAUAUUUUAGUACGAAAGGACCAAAUAUAAUAUAUAUAAAUAUUUAUUUUUAUGAAUAU
RNAcentral lists this ribosomal RNA (579 nucleotides) under Trechus quadristriatus. Its description in RNAcentral is "partial 16S ribosomal RNA". The stretch from base 339 to 497 matches the Rfam family "Bacterial large subunit ribosomal RNA", at positions 2473 to 2632 of the family's 2925-position model. The record is from RNAcentral. Lineage: Eukaryota; Metazoa; Arthropoda; Insecta; Coleoptera; Carabidae.